This 438-nucleotide ribosomal RNA is filed under the name uncultured bacterium. RNAcentral's name for it is "bacterial SSU rRNA". It matches the Rfam family "Bacterial small subunit ribosomal RNA", at positions 339 to 794 of the family's 1533-position model. The record is from RNAcentral.
AUACGGGAGGCAGCAGUGGGGAAUCUUGCACAAUGGGGGAAACCCUGAUGCAGCGACGCCGCGUGAGCGAUGAAGCCCUUCGGGGUGUAAAGCUCUUUCGGCAGGAACGAUAAUGACGGUACCUGCAGAAGAAGCUGCGGCUAACUACGUGCCAGCAGCCGCGGUAAUACGUAGGCAGCGAGCGUUGUUCGGAGUUACUGGGCGUAAAGAGUAUGUAGGCGGUUCUGCAAGUUUGGUGUGAAAUCUCCCGGCUUAACUGGGAGGGUGCGCCGAAAACUGCAGGGCUAGAGUGCGGGAGAGGAAAGCGGAAUUCCUGGUGUAGCGGUGAAAUGCGUAGAUAUCAGGAGGAACACCUGCGGUGUAGACGGCUUUCUGGACCGCCACUGACGCUGAGAUACGAAAGCGUGGGUAGCAAACAGGAUUAGAUACCCCGGUAGC